This 134-nucleotide ribosomal RNA is filed under the name Opisthonema oglinum (Atlantic thread herring). RNAcentral describes it as "partial 16S ribosomal RNA". Lineage: Eukaryota; Metazoa; Chordata; Actinopteri; Clupeiformes; Clupeidae. The record is from RNAcentral.
ACCAAACAGCUAGCUCGACCCAAAUGACCAAAUCGACAACAUAAAUCAACCUAACACAAACUCACCCCACCAACUAAACCAUUCGACCACCCCAGUACGGGCGACAGAAAAGGACCAAGGAAGCUAUAGACAAA